AAAAGUUGCCAAACCUUCUUGUCAAAGCCUGAUCUUGCCAGAUCUCAAAACUAAACAAGUCUGGGCCUGGUUAGCACUUAGAUGGGAGACUGCUGUGAAUACCAGGGACCACAGUGG
RNAcentral lists this ribosomal RNA (117 nucleotides) under Periophthalmus magnuspinnatus. The record is from RNAcentral. Lineage: Eukaryota; Metazoa; Chordata; Actinopteri; Gobiiformes; Gobiidae.